This 2110-nucleotide ribosomal RNA is filed under the name Globobulimina sp. RNAcentral describes it as "bacterial LSU rRNA". It matches the Rfam family "Bacterial large subunit ribosomal RNA", at positions 784 to 2925 of the family's 2925-position model. The record is from RNAcentral. Lineage: Eukaryota; Foraminifera; Rotaliida; Buliminidae.
UGAUGUUGAAAAAUCAGCGGAUGAGUUGUGGUUAGGGGUGAAAUGCCAAUCGAAUUCGGAGCUAGCUGGUUCUCCCCGAAAUGCGUUUUGGCGCAGCGGUAGAUGUUAUAGUUUAGGGGUAAAGCACUGUUACGUAUGCGGGCUGGUAAUUCGGUACCAAAUCGUUGCAAACUAAGAAUACUAAGUGUACAGUCUACCAGUAAGACUGUGGGGGAUAAGCUCCAUUGUCAAGAGGGAAACAGCCCAGAGCACCAGUUAAGGCCCUUAAAUAAUUACUAAGUGAUAAAGGAGGUGGGAGUGCAUAAACAAUCAGGAGGUUUGCUUAGAAGCAGCAAUCCUUUAAAGAGUGCGUAAUAGCUCACUGAUCGAGUAAACCUGCGCCGAAAAUGAACGGGACUAAGUAAUUUGCCGAAACUGUGCGAUAUAUAAAAAUAUAUCGGUAGGGGAGCGUUCUGUUGUAGGUCGAAGUAUUAGCGUAAGCGGAUAUGGACGAAGCAGAAGUGAGAAUGUCGGCUUGAGUAACGAAAAUAUAGGUGAGAAUCCUAUACCCCGAAAACCCAAGGUUUCCUCCGGAAGGCUCGUCCGCGGAGGGUAAGUCAGGACCUAAGGCGAGGCUGAAAAGCGUAGUCGAUGGACAACGGGUUAAUAUUCCCGUACCAUUUUUUAUUGACAACGAGGGACGGAGAAGGCUAAGCUAGCCGGAUAUUGGUUACCGGUUUAAACGUUCGAGAUGUUGAGAAGCGGCGAAAACGCUUUGAGUUGAGACGUGAGUACGAGACGCUAAGGCGUCGAAGUAGUGUAUGUCAUACUUCCAAGAAAAGCUUGCACUGUCAUAAAUAAAAAAUGCCUGUACCAUAACCGACACAGGUGGGUAGGUAGAGUAUACUAAGGGGCGCGAGAUAACUCUCUCUAAGGAACUCGGCAAAAUAACUCCGUAACUUCGGGAGAAGGAGUGCCUUAUUCGUAAGGCUGCAAUAACAAGAUCCAAGCAACUGUUUAUCAAAAACACAGGUCUCCGCUAAGUCGUAAGACGAUGUAUGGGGGCUGACGCCUGCCCAGUGCCAGAAGGUUAAAGAAGUUGGUUAGCAUUUGCGAAGCUGAUGACUGAAGCCCUGGUGAACGGCGGCCGUAACAAUAACGGUCCUAAGGUAGCGAAAUUCCUUGUCGGGUAAGUUCCGACCCGCACGAAAGGCGUAAUGAUUUGGAUACUGUCUCGGAGAGGGGCUCGGUGAAAUAGACUUGUCUGUGAAGAUGCGGACUACCUGCACCUGGACAGAAAGACCCUAUGAAGCUUUACUGUAACUUGAGAUUGAAUUUGGGCUUUAUUUGCGCAGGAUAGGUGGGAGGCUUUGAUGGUAUUUUUGCGGAAAUAUCGGAGCCAUUGGUGAGAUACCACUCUUGUAAAGCUAGAAUUCUAACCUUAUACCGUAAUCCGGUUAAGGAACAGUCUCUGGUGGGCAGUUUGACUGGGGCGGUCGCCUCCCAAAAGGUAACGGAGGCGCACAAAGGUUUCCUCAGAUCGGUCAGAAAUCGAUCGUAGAGCGUAAAGGCAUAAGGAAGCUUGACUGCGAGACCUACAAGUCGAGCAGAGACGAAAGUCGGUCUUAGUGAUCUGACGGUUCCGAGUGGAAGGGCCGUCACUCAACGGAUAAAAGUUACUCUAAGGAUAACAGGCUGAUCUCCCCCAAGAGUUCACAUCGACGGGGAGGUUUGGCACCUCGAUGUCGGCUCAUCGCAUCCUGGGGCGGUAGUACGUCCCAAGGGUUGGGCUGUUCGCCCAUGAAAGCGGUACGCGAGCUGGGUUCAGAACGUCGUGAGACAGUUCGGUCCAUAUCCGGUGUAGGCGUUAGAAUAUUGAGAGGAGCCUUCUUUAGUACGAGAGGACCGAGAAGGACAUACCUAUGGUGUACCAGUUAUCGUGCCAACGGUAAACGCUGGGUAGCUAAGUAUGGAGUGGAUAACCGCUGAAAGCAUCUAAGUGGGAAGCCCACCUCAAGAUGAGUAUUCCCAUGGGGUAACCCAGUAAGGUCACGGGAAGAACACCCGUUGAUAGGCUCUACGUCGAAGUCCAGUAAUGGAUGCAGCGGAGGAGUACUAAUAGACCGAGGGC